RNAcentral lists this long non-coding RNA (1721 nucleotides) under Cucumis sativus (cucumber). RNAcentral's name for it is "long non-coding RNA (CSAT_LNC000235)". The record is from RNAcentral. Lineage: Eukaryota; Viridiplantae; Streptophyta; Magnoliopsida; Cucurbitales; Cucurbitaceae.
GUCAGGGGAAAAUAAAUUGUUAAAGUUCUAUUGGGACACCCUGUACAGUCGCAGUCUUGUGAUCCCGUAGGAUACACAUCUCAGUCUAACGCCCCGAGGGACGUACAUAUCAGUCUAACGCCCCGAGGGACGUACAUAUCAGUCUAACGCCCCGAGGGACGUACAUAUCAGUCUAGUGUUCUGCAGAAACACAUAUCAGUCAAAUGCUCCCGAAGGUGCAAAAUAAAUUGGUGAUCCCGUGGGACACCUACAAGGUAAACAUCCCAAUACAAUCUAACAAUUUAUCCCCUCAUUCCAUUCAAUCCAUCUUUCAGUUACUUCAAAACAUAGAGUUCUUUCUCUCAACGUCCAAACAGUCAACUUAUCUCACUUUAGUCAUAUGUCUGUCAAUAAUAUACUUAUACGUCAGUCAAUCAAACUAUACAGUCAAUACACCCCUCAGAUCACCAGCACACAGUCAUACUUUAGCGUAACGUACACCCAAUCUAAACGACAAUCACAAGAUCGCAUCUGCAUCUCAUACAAGCACAAUCUACAACAUCACCUGUCUAUGUAGUGAUAUAUAUUGAAAUUCAACUAUAAAUUAUGUAGAACUAUAUGUCACUAAAUAUUUAUGUUGUAAAUAAGGUGUAUCUAUAUAUUAAAUCACAUCAUAAACAUAUUAUAAUUUACGAGUAUAUUAUAGUAUAUAUUGUUCAUUUAAAAAAUAUAUGACAAAUAGAAGGUAUAUAAUUAUACGAAGUGAGAAUAUGUAUGUAUGAUAUUCUCACUACAUAUUAUAUAUACACUAAGAAUGUGUAUUUUACUGUUUUAGUAGUAUUUACUAUAUAAAUAUAUAUUUUAAAUAUUAAUUAUUAAUGAAUAUAUAUGUAACGACCCAACUUUUCUAGGUAAGUCGAGGUCAUUAAUUUUUAACAAAAGACUUUGGUUGAUACAAAAUGAAACGUAAGUCAAUUUAAAAACAAUUUAUGUCAGGCCCGAUUUUCAAAUAUUCAAGAAAACUUAAAAAUAACACUAUUUACAAAUAAAAGUUUGUAAACUAAGUUUUAGUACAUCUUAAACCUCAAAAGAAACCAUAAGCGGAAGCAAAAUGACACAUUUCCUAUGACAAUCACGCUUCCUUCCUGCCCCUCGCCGGUUUGCCACCUUUAUUUCCUUUGCCUGAAAAUUAAACAUAAGAAGGGUGAGUAUAACAAUACUCAGUAAGAGACCCUCUACUGGUCUCGUCAGGGGAAAAUAAAUUGUUAAAGUUCUAUUGGGACACCCUGUACAGUCGCAGCUUGUGAUCCCGUAGGAUACACAUCUCAGUCUAACGCCCCGAGGGACGUACAUAUCAGUCUAACGCCCCGAGGGACGUACAUAUCAGUCUAACGCCCCGAGGGACGUUCAUAUCAGUCUAGUGUUCUGCAGAAACAUAUAUCAGUCAAAUGCUCCCGAAGGUGCAAAAUAAAUUGGUGAUCCCGUGGGACACCUACAAGGUAAACAUCCCAAUACAACCUAACAAUUUAUCCCCUCAUUCCAUUCAAUCCAUCUUUCAGUUACUUCAAAACAUAAAGUUCUUUCUCUCGACGUCCUAACAGUCAACUUAUCUCACUUUAGUCAUAUGUCUGUCAAUAAUAUACUAAUACGUCAGUCAAUCAAACUAUACAGUCAAUACACCCCUCAGUUCACCAGCACAAACCACAUUUGAGUACAAUCCACAUCCAACCGAAACAAAUUCA